RNAcentral lists this ribosomal RNA (397 nucleotides) under uncultured bacterium. RNAcentral describes it as "partial 16S ribosomal RNA". It matches the Rfam family "Bacterial small subunit ribosomal RNA", at positions 523 to 918 of the family's 1533-position model. The record is from RNAcentral.
AUACGUAGGUGACAAGCGUUAUCCGGAUUUACUGGGCGUAAAGGGCGUGUAGGCGGUCUUGCAAGUCAGAAGUGAAAUUCCUGGGCUCAACUCGGGCGCUGCUUCUGAAACUGCAGGACUUGAGUGCUGGAGGGGAUAGCGGAAUUCCUAGUGGAGCGGUAAAAUGCGCAGAUAUCAGGAAGAACACCGGUGGCGAAGGCGGAUAUCUGGACAGUAAUUGAGACUGAGGCGCGAAAGCGGGGGGAGCAAACAGGCUGAUAUAACCUGGUAGUCCACGCCGUAAACGAUGAAUACUAGGUGUAGGGGGUAUCGACUCCCUCUGUGCCGCAGUUAACACAAUAAGUAUUCCGCCUGGGGAGUACGGCCGCAAGGUUGAAACUCAAAUGAAUUGACGGGG